Molecule: non-coding RNA, 132 nt
Organism: Brachypodium distachyon (stiff brome)
Lineage: Eukaryota; Viridiplantae; Streptophyta; Magnoliopsida; Poales; Poaceae
Source: Rfam
AUGGUACUCCCUCCGUCUAACAAAAGAUGUCUCAAUUUUGAUCAAAUUUGAAUGCAUCUAUACACUAAGUCAUGUCUAGAUACGUUCAAAUUUUGACACACUUGAACUUUUGUGGGACGGAGGGAGUAUCAG